Molecule: long non-coding RNA, 2724 nt
Filed under: Triticum aestivum (bread wheat)
Lineage: Eukaryota; Viridiplantae; Streptophyta; Magnoliopsida; Poales; Poaceae
Description: long non-coding RNA (TAES_LNC026938)
Source: RNAcentral
CCGCCACGUACGCCAGCGCCGCCGCCGCCGCCGCGAUCCACCACCAGCGCAUCAUCCGCACCAACAGCGCCGCUCAAUUCUAUGUAUGUAUAUCCCCCUCCUCUCGCCUCACUCACUCACUCGUUGAGCUAUGCUGUGUCGUCCGUCCUCAGAGAAGAAGAAACAAGUAGAAGCAGAGGAGAGAGGAACAGAGGGCGCGUGAGGUGGCAGGAGCGGAGACGUGGUGUGCGUGGUGAGGUGAGAGGAGAGGAGAGAAAACGGGGGUGGAUUUAUAUAGGGGAGCUGGGCUCUGGACCAGCAUGUGUGUAGUAGUAGUAGGAUUAGUAUCAUCGCUGAAAGCGUCGGAUGGAUCCAUCGGUUUCAUUUCAUUUAAUCUAGAUAGAGGGGGGAAGGGAGGGGGGCACAACGGUAAAGGCUGCCGAGAGCGAGACAGAGAGAGCGAUGUGAUGUGGAGCGAGCAGGGCCGGCGCCGUUGGAGCCGCCGUCGCGGGGAUUAAUGGCGGGGUCAACCCAAAUUGGCAACUUUGUUCUCUUUCGUUUUGGCCUUCUCACCUCUAUCUCUCUCUCUCGACCUUUCUCUCUCCGGUCUCUCUCCCUCGAGCCUCAACCUCUCUCUCCUGGCGUCCUGUGAUAGCACUGUUCCAUUUUCACCGCUUCGCUGCAAAACUUUGCCAGUGUUGUGUGCGCAGCACCAGCCGCAGCGUGCUACAGAGAGGAUUCUGCUCUGUUCUCAGCACCCUCACCUCCCCUCUGAUGGACAUGCCGCCGUGCCGUCCGUCCUUACACGUACUGACAUCUAAUGUAGUAGUAGGAGUAGUAUGAGUAGCGCUCACUCAUUCAUGUUGGUAGUAUCUGUUUGUGUAAUUAUCCUUGUGCUCUGCUCCGCACUGUGCUGUGUUGUGUGGCAUGUCAGUCAGGUUGUUAUGUUCGCGAUGCGGAGCGCUUUUUCUCUCCUUUUACAGCAGCAAUGGCUCCUGUGUGUAGCUUUUGAGGGGCUGCCUGAGUGGGGUUUCAUCUCAUCUCAUCAGUCAUCACCUUGAUGAGAUUGAUGAGAUCUCUUGAGGGUUAUGCGCGGCUGCAUUUUGCUGUAUCGCCCACGGUUCUACCUUUUGGGGGAUGGAUCACGGACGCAAGGGGGCAAAAGAAAGAAAUACAAGCGCUUUGUGGCCUGUGGGCUCCUCCUCCUAAGCCUAACCUCAGAAGAGACAAGGGCGAUUGGAAAUGCAUCAGGUCUAGUGUUUUUUUAAUUAUUUAUUUUUUAUAUGUGUAGUAGAGAAAAAGGGUGAUAGAGUGCUGAAAAAGUGCUGGCUAUGUAUAAUCAAUCAAUCAUACACCGUUAGGGCUGAUAGGUUCUGUUCCUAUAGUCGAAUUAUUAGCGCCUGUCUAGUUUACAUGUACUAGCCUUUGCUCUGUUUUUUGUGUGUGGCUGAGCUGAACUAAAUCACAUCACUGGCUAUUAUUAGGAGUAACCUGAGGUUAGAUUGACAGGCUCUGCAGUGUAGGGGAAUCUUUGAUCUGCAGUAUAUACUUCAGAAGUUUAUCUCCACUAUUUUAUUUAUCUUAACACACGGUAUAUUCAUCUUAUGACAUAUGUCCCACAAUAUCACUUUCCAUUUAAAUACACAUGCAAGUAAUCCGCAUCACCAAAUGCAUGCAAUCAAUCAACUUUUCAGUUUUCCCUAAAAAAAAUCACCUUUACAUUUUCCACCACAUGCACGUGAUUCAUAUCAUCAAGCCCUAAUGCAACCAUUCAACUUUCCACUUUCACCACAUUCAAGCCUAUCAUCAUAUAUUAUAAUUUUAUUUUUGGUAAGUUCGUUGGUAAAAAAUUCCGCAACAAGGUAUGUGGCAUUAUCUAGUUGCAGCAGUAUUUUGUAUACAACAAACCAUUCAAGAAAAAAGGGAAGUAUUGUACAACAAACAAACUCCAUUUCUUCAGAUCCCUUCGUAUUCAUUCCUCCUUCCCAGUGGAUUGUUGCAUACCUUUCUGGCCGGUUUUGUUUGUUUCACAUCAAGCUCCCGGAUUUGCAGGGGAGCCUUAUCUGCUAGUGCCUUUUCUUUUAAAGAACACUCACUCGUAUUAAUUGCACCUUGUUCUAUUCUAGCGUACUACACACCAACAACAACAGCUAUCUAUAUGGUUCCUAAGUCCUUCCUCCAAAAAUAUUUUAUCAAGCUCGAUCAAAUGCAACAGGCGCCUCUUGGUUUGGAAAUUGGAACUACACUACUUAACCCCAUCGUGCAUGCUUGCAUGGAUCAAUGCAAGGCAAGGCAGCAAAUAAUGAAGCCGCGAACUGUUACUUGUACUUGCUAAUUAUGUAAACCCAUGCCAAAGUUGACUUAAUGGAAUCUAACCCUGCAGGCUGGCAUGCAUCAACCAGUAACACCAUUAUGUUUGGAGCUGCUAGAGAGAUCACAUCAGAUGUGUUGGUUUGCAACAUUUGGUGCGUGCGUCCGUCCGCAUUGAAGGCACGUACAAGUAUGAAUGUGAAUGGAAUGCAUUCAUGAUUUGUUUCCUUUCUUUCUCCAUUGAUUACUUAGCAUGAUUGAAGGGGAAAGGGGAUGUGUAGUGUGGCAGUGUCAUAUACCAUGUACAUGUUGCCUAAAUAAAAGGCUAAAACUUGUAAGAGUCCCCAGUACCAGUGACAUGACUUUCCACAAUAAUGCACAAGUGGCAUGGUUGGUUGUACACCACCACCAGAGCUAGCUUGUAUUAGCCUCGAU